RNAcentral lists this microRNA precursor (203 nucleotides) under Oryza glumipatula. Its description in RNAcentral is "MIR812 microRNA precursor family". It matches the Rfam family "MIR812 microRNA precursor family". The record is from Rfam by way of RNAcentral. Lineage: Eukaryota; Viridiplantae; Streptophyta; Magnoliopsida; Poales; Poaceae.
UAUAAGGGAUUUUGAGUUUUUGCUUGCAACGUUUGACCACUCGUUUUAUUCAUUUUUUUUUGAAAUUAUUAUUUAUUUUAUUUGUGACUUACUUUAUUAUCUAUAAUACUUUAAGCACACCUUUUCGUUUUUUAUAUUUGCAAAAAAAAAUUGAAUAAGACGAGUGGUCAAACGUUGCAAAGAAAAACUUAAAAUCCCUUAUA